Molecule: ribosomal RNA, 305 nt
Filed under: uncultured bacterium
Lineage: Bacteria
Description: bacterial SSU rRNA
Rfam family: Bacterial small subunit ribosomal RNA
Source: RNAcentral
CCUACGGGGGGCAGCAGUGGGGAAUAUUGCACAAUGGGGGAAACCCUGAUGCAGCGACGCCGCGUGGGUGAAGAAGCGCCUCGGCGCGUAAAGCCCUGUCAGCAGGGAAGAAAAUGACGGUACCUGAAGAAGAAGCCCCGGCUAACUACGUGCCAGCAGCCGCGGUAAUACGUAGGGGGCAAGCGUUAUCCGGAUUUACUGGGUGUAAAGGGAGCGUAGGCGGCGAUGCAAGUCAGAAGUGAAAGCCCGGGGCUCAACUCCGGGACUGCUUUUGAAACUGUAUGGCUAGAUUGCAGGAGAGGCAA